AUCUUACAUAGUGGAACGAGUUUUAAAAAUAGGUCAUAAACAAUUAUUUACUAAAAGAAUCAUGUGGAAAGAAUUGCUUUUACUAUUGGUAGUGACAAAAUCGUUAGUCGCUUCAGUUAAGGUAGUAUAUCACGUAACUUCUGACCAUGUAUACGAAGAAUUGUUGUUUAUAUUCUACGUGACACUCUCAAAUCACGAGACAUCGUAUUAAACAUUAUUACAUUACAGCCGAUUGCAUUGAGUGUGUAGGUAAAGGUAAUAAUUUCGGUUAGCUUGCUUGCUAGCUGAACCGUGAAGUAAUUAUUUGGUAAGAUAACCUAGUCCACCAGACAGAUAGAUCGGUUAUCUGUCGACUAGUCUUCUCUUAAAGGAGGAUACUUGACCUAACCUAAUAAUAAUAAUAAUGAAUUCAUGGUUCAGCUAGCAACCAAGCUAACUAAAGAUAUUAACUUUACAUACACACGCAAUGCAAUCGACUGUAAUUGGGAAUUAAAAUUGAGUCCGUGAUACUGUAUAUAGUUACUAAAUCUGUCAAAAAGGUGACUUCAUAUGUUCAAAAGGCCCGAUGCAACAUUUACCACACAAUCUUGUAAAAAGUAUUGAUGCAUGUUCACAAGUCACUAUAAUAAUUCAGUGAUUGUCGUUUGUUUAUGUGUUACAUAUUUGUUUUUCGUUCAUUUUUUAUACAUAAAUUGUGCCAUUAGUUUUCUUGUUUGAUUUGUUUUACAUAGUCAUAACAGGGCCUUUUAAAGCUGACUAUGCGGUAUGGGCUUUGCUCAAUGUUGAAGGCCGUACUGUGACCUAUAUUUGUUAAUUUCUGUGUGAUUUUGGUCUCUUGUGGAGAGUUGUCUCAUUGGCAAUCAUACUACAUUCUCUUUUUUUAAAGUUACUUGCGUGCUUUUAUCCUUACUAUGCGUGGUAACGUAUUUAUGCACCCCUAAUAAUUGUGUUCUGAUUACUGGUUUUUUUCCUUCUUUCGGCGGUGUUUGGUGGUUCCAUAACAUUUCGCUUAGAUUUUUUGCAUAUCAUAUCAAUCAGUUAUUGUGACUUUGAAACUGACCCUGUUUAACCGAACACUUUUUAUUGUAAGAGUUAUCUCCCCAACACUGCUUUUCUAGUGUGCGCAUCUUCCUUCUCAAUCGAAAAAUAUUACGAUAAAAAUAGUUCAUCAAUUUGCUAUUUAUAUCCUCAGGAUCUUAAGAAUAAUGUUGACCAAAUCAGUCUGGAACCUCCAUAUGAAAGGUAUUUCCCCUUAUGUAUUUAAAAUACUAGUAAGAGAAAUGUAAUUGUAACUGGUAAAGGAUAAGUGAUAGAGACCUAAGGUCUUGAUUUGAUGUCUUUAGUCCAUGCAAAAUAAAAUUAGGUCAAGGUCUCAAAGGACAAGGUCAUGUUCUUACUUUAGAUUUUGGCUACAGUUAACUUUUUUUUUAAAUCUUACGAGAUAUAAACAUCUUAUGUUGCUAAAUUGUUAGUUUCAACAUGUCGUAACACAUACAUUUUGUUUGAAAGGGUAUGUUGAUAUUUCUUAACGGAAGUAAAAAGUUAUCUCCCUUUUAUUUCAAACAAAAGUGUUUUGACACUAAUCAACUUGAAAUAAACUAUAAACCUAAUUUCGUUAUUUUUCAUAUCAUAGGGUUGAGAGACUUUUGAUUGUUCUCUGAACAAUUGUUUGUUUUUUUUUUUUAAAUAAUUAAUGAAAUUGAUCAUAUAUCGACGAAAAAAGGGGGAAACAUGUUUUCAAUUCACAUAAUUAUUGUUGUUUCAGAUCCAGCGUAAACAGGAUUCUCAAUGUGGAUCGGAUGAAUGCUGUUAUUAUGACGAAGGGCCAAUAUGGUUGCCAGCAAAAGGCGCCGGGCUGUUUUACCGUUCACUGGUAUGGUUCAAGGU
RNAcentral lists this long non-coding RNA (1887 nucleotides) under Mytilus galloprovincialis (Mediterranean mussel). Lineage: Eukaryota; Metazoa; Mollusca; Bivalvia; Mytilida; Mytilidae. The record is from RNAcentral.